This 48-nucleotide ribosomal RNA is filed under the name Cephalotrichiella penicillata. RNAcentral describes it as "partial 28S ribosomal RNA". The record is from RNAcentral. Lineage: Eukaryota; Fungi; Ascomycota; Sordariomycetes; Microascales.
UUGACCUCGAAUCAGGUAGGGUUACCCGCUGAACUUAAGCAUAUCAAU